RNAcentral lists this ribosomal RNA (431 nucleotides) under uncultured bacterium. RNAcentral describes it as "partial 16S ribosomal RNA". It matches the Rfam family "Bacterial small subunit ribosomal RNA", at positions 29 to 507 of the family's 1533-position model. The record is from RNAcentral.
AAUGAACGCUGGCGGCAGGCCUAACACAUGCAAGUCGAGCGAGCAUUUCGGUGCUAGCGGCGGACGGGUGAGUAACGCGUGGGAACGUGCCCUUUUCUGCGGAAUAGUCCUGGGAAACUGGGGGUAAUACCGCAUACGCCCUUUUGGGGAAAGAUUUAUCGGAGAAGGAUCGGCCCGCGUUGGAUUAGGUAGUUGGUGGGGUAAUGGCCCACCAAGCCGACGAUCCAUAGCUGGUUUGAGAGGAUGAUCAGCCACACUGGGACUGACACGGCCCAGACUCCUACGGGAGGCAGCAGUGGGGAAUCUUAGACAAUGGGGGCAACCCUGAUCGAGCCAUGCCGCGUGAGUGAUGAAGGCCUUAGGGUUGUAAAGCUCUUUCAGCUGGGAAGAUAAUGACGGUACCAGCAGAAGAAGCCCCGGCUAACUCCGUG